Molecule: transfer RNA, 82 nt
Filed under: Pyrenophora teres f. teres 0-1
Lineage: Eukaryota; Fungi; Ascomycota; Dothideomycetes; Pleosporales; Pleosporaceae
Description: tRNA-Arg (TCG) (tRNA-Arg-TCG-2-1)
Rfam family: tRNA (bases 5-69)
About the family: Transfer RNA (tRNA) molecules are approximately 80 nucleotides in length. Their secondary structure includes four short double-helical elements and three loops (D, anti-codon, and T loops).
Source: RNAcentral
GCCUUGGCGCAAUGGUAGCGCGUUGGUUUUCGGCACCAAAGGUUGUGGGUUCGGUAAGCUUUGUCCCACUCUUCAUGAACCG